This 51-nucleotide non-coding RNA is filed under the name unclassified sequences. The record is from Rfam.
CGGUUGGGAGGGCUGCCAUUGCAGUUCGCCGGACUUCGGUCCGCCCGGCUG